GCUGGGCAUGAUGGUGUGUGCCUGCAGUCCUAGCUACUGCAGACACUGAGACAGGAGGAUCACUGGAGCCCAGGAGUUUGGGGUCAGCCUGGGCAACUUAGCAAGACUCUUUCUCUC
Molecule: small RNA, 117 nt
Filed under: Marmota monax (woodchuck)
Lineage: Eukaryota; Metazoa; Chordata; Mammalia; Rodentia; Sciuridae
Source: RNAcentral